Non-coding RNA from Pantherophis guttatus, 5916 nucleotides. Lineage: Eukaryota; Metazoa; Chordata; Lepidosauria; Squamata; Colubridae. The record is from RefSeq and is a predicted model, not a curated record.
CUGAGCUCCUGGCAAAAGUAUUUCUUUUGCAUUUUGUUCCUACCACUGCUCCCAGAAAUUUCAGGUAGAGCAUUCCAGCGAGAAGGGGUUUGCACCCGAGCCCGCUGAAGGCCAUCAUUGGCUGAGUGGGGGCUGCAGGUUCCCGGCCGGUUGAGCCUAGCCCUCACAACAGCGCGAAAGGCUAACGCCUGAAACCGCUAGCAACCUUAGGUUGCUGGAGCCGCCCACCUUGAAUGCGAAGGGGCUUGGGAGUAAGCGAUUAGGACGCCUAGCCGACUCUGCUGCCGCCGCCGUCUCCUUCCAGAGGUUUUUUUCACCGCAGCGAUUCAAAUCGCCUUUCACGUGGAAUCGGGGGCUCGAAUUGCAGCUGCGGUUUGUCGGGCGGCUGCCUAGCGGUGACGGAACAACAGAGCGGUUUUUGGGGCGGAGAUCUCGGCUCUGUGGGUGGACCAGACUGUCUGGUCAUCUCCCUUAAAGACAGAAGUCUUCAGGUGACAGGUACUGGAUGGGGGGAAGCUCCUUAUUCACCAGUCACCGUUGUUUUUCCCCCGGUGGCCAUUUUGAAUCGGCCAUUUUGAUUCUGCCUCGUGGCUUUUAGAGGCCUACACAAAUUCAGGCAGUUGGUCUGCCUGGUUAUGCCAGAUCGCCAUUAGCUUGGAAGCCUUCAGUAAUUGGGGCAGUUAGUGACCUAAGCCUAAUUAUUACAUCUCCUGACUGGAAGGCUUGGAAAUAGUUUAUUCAUUUCGUCCUUAUUCCUAGAGACAAGAUGGCUUCUCAGAGGCAGACCAAGGCUUCCAAGCAACGCCUUCAAGAGGAUCUGCCCCAGUUCCGGCUAAGAAAAGCAGGAAAACCCACUAUUCUUCUGGAACAUCCAAGGCCUCCCAGUCGGCUGCAGCCUUGGCCAAAGAGGAGUUAAAGCUCCACAAGGCCAUAGAAAAGGUCAUUCAAAAGGCUGCCAAGGAGGCCUCCUUACGGGAGAAGGUCAUACUUAGCCCUCAGUCAGCUCCUCCUCCUAGGGCUUCUCCUCAAACACAAAGAGGUUCCCAUUACCCCAGGCCCUUACUCCUGCAUUAUCCCUGAAUGGGGAUCCCUUAUUGGCUGAGGGUCAGAAGGAGGUCAAUGUUACACUAUUUGGGGUUCAAUCGGAGCCUCCUCCCAGCCCUGUCCAUCCUCAACCCUUGGAACAACCGGCACAGUCUGAUGCCCCCCUGGCCCCAGUCCCAUUGGCUCCUGAGGCUCUCAUCACUCCUGUCCUGGCUUCAUAUAUCCAGGAGGCAAUCCGGGAAGGGGUUAGACAGGAACUUCUCCAAAGAACCUCUUCAUGGGUUUCUGACCAAGCCUGUUCUCAGGUAGAGGUUGAGGGCUCCAUCAUUUCUACUGACCAGGCUAUCACACAGGAUACUGGGAUUCUAAGGUCUGGCCAGACUAGAGUGGCAUCUGCCUGCUCAUCUGGACAGGAAUCUUUACCUGGAGCUAAUCUCCUAGAUCAGGAGAUGUCGGAAGAUGAGGAUUUAGCCCCUGACCAACCAGCUUUUGUUGGUCUCUUUAAGCCUCAAUUGUUUCGUUCUCUUCUCCACAAAGCCAAGGCCACCAUGGGGUUAGGAACCACUAGACCACCGGAUGCCGGCCCGGGAGAGGGGGUGUCCACAGCGGUUCCCCUUUUUGAGGAACCAGCUAUCGAAACCGAGGAAAUCCCAGGGCCUAAGCUAUUUAGGGACGUGUUACAACGUCAAUGGUCAUCCCCGGCCUUGGGCCCUAGCCCUAAUGCGGUGGACAGGUGCAUCUACAAUUUGGCUCCUGAAUUAGCUUCUAUCUUGCAAGUCCCUUCGGUCGACCAACCAGUGGCUGAAUUGUCGGCUACCUCUAAUUUGACAGGGCCCCCAGAGGACAACCUCCACCCAGAGGAUGGUGCCUAGAGAAUUCCUUGGUUAGAUCCCAUCAGGCCAUGGCCUGGUCAGUUAAAUAGGCCUUGGCCGCUUCCUUUUUUAAUCGGGCUUCCAUCCUUUGGUUACGUCAACUACAGGCCCCCCUCCCUAUUUCUGAUCUAUGGGCCCAACAAGACAUAAGCAAGGUCAUUGUGGCAUUAGAAUAUUCAGCGGACGCUACGUUAAAUUCUUCACGCUUCGCUGCCAAAGCCAGUGGUUCCUCUGUAGCUGCCCGUUGCCUGCUCUGGCUUCACCAGUGGCAGGCUGAUGCCAAAUCUAAAUGGCGCCUAGCCACUUCCCCCUUUGAGGGGUCCGAGCUUUUUGGAACCUCCCUGGAUCCUCUUCUGGUGGAGUCCAAGGAUAAACGCCGCAUCCUCCCCAAUUUGUCCCGUUGGUCGGACGCUAGGUCUCAGUCAACCUUUCGACCCUUUAGGAGCCCUGACGGAGGAUUUACGGGGACCCGUAGACAAAGGUCCUUUCCCCCUAGACAAUUUCGACCCCACGACAGACAAGGUUUCUCUUCUUCAUCCCAGGGUCAAUCUAAACGUCCCUUUUGAGGGGGCAGGGGGUGGGGUUUCUGCAGAUCACGAUGAUGGUCCGGCCUCACUUCCCAUUGGGGGCCACCUGGCGUCCUUCGCCAGCCAAUGGGAGGCUACCUUGUCGGACGUUUGGGUCAGGGAGACGGUCAGAUUUGGCCUCUCUCUAGAAUUCCUCUUCAUUCCUCCCGACCGGUUUCUUCGCUGUCCCCUGUCCCGGGACAGGUCCUCCAGGCUCCUGGUGGCAUCGGCCAUUCAACAUCUUCUCGAAAUUCAGGCCAUCGAACCGGUGCCUCAGGAGCAGCACGAACAAGGCUUCUAUUCACGCCUAUUCGUUAUUCGGAAAUCAUUGGGGGGAUGGAGGGCAAUUCUCGACCUCAAGUCCCUGAAUCGCCAGAUUGCAUAACAGCGAUUCAAGAUGCAGUCCCUCCAGUCCACCUUGGAGGGCAUCAGGGUCAGGGAUUACCUCACGUCUAUCGUCUGACGUAUCUCCAUGUCCCCAUCCGCCCCUCCUACUGUCGUUUCCUCAGGUUCUGUUUCGUGAACAGACGUUACCAGUACCAGGGUCUCCCAUUGGGCCUUUUGUAUCUCCAUGUCCCCAUCCGCCCCUCCUACCAUCGUUUCCUCAGGUUCUGUUUCAUGAACAGACAUUACCAGUACCGGGCUCUCCCAUUGGGCCUUUCCUCGGCCCUCCGAGUGUUUACUAAAUUGAUGGCCGCGCUGGCAGGCCACCUCCGGACACUGCCAAUAAGGAUGCAGUUCUACCUGGACGACCUCCUUAUCCAGUCUUUCUCGGAGCGGCUAGCACAUCAAGACCUGGCCUCCACUCUACAGGUCUUGAGGAGCCACGGGUACUCUGUCAAUUUGGCCAAGAGUCACCUGCUGCUGACUACUUGCUUCCAGCAUCUGGGGGCCAUCAUAGACACGAUGGAGUGCAGGGUCUAUCUUUCCCAGGAUCGCCUGUCCAGCUUGCGGUCUCUGGUCAGGUCAGUGACAACACGGAGGGUCUCUUCCCUGGCGUCACUUUCCCAACUCCUGGGGAAGAUGGUAUCAUGCAUCGGGAUAGUUCCCUGGGCCCGUCUACACUGCAGACAUCUACAGUGGUUUCUCCUUCCCUUCCAAAAACGACAUCUGGGGAAUUCCCACAGGGUGGUUCGUCUUCCUCCCAAAGUUCUCCUGUCCCUCAAAUGGUGGAGUUUGGAGGCCCUUCUUCGGGGGAGGGAGUUCAGGGAAUCCCACUGUCUUAUUCUGACCAUGGACGCCAGCCUUCAUGGCUGGGGUGCCCAUCUCUCUUCAUCUCGCGCCCAGAGGCGUUGGACCCGGGUGGAUUUGGAGCACAACAUAAACUGGUUAGAGCUCCGGGUCAUGCACCUGGCUCUCAGGGUCUUCGUUCACAAGGUGAAGGACAGACGUACUGAUCAGGACGGACAACGUGGCUGCCAAGGCCCAUGAAACUGCCUUGGCACCUCAUGGAGGAGGCCAAGAGGCUGGGAGCCUGGGUGGAGUCUCAUCUGUAGUCCUUAUGGGCCACUCACAUUUCGGGGGUGACAAACACUCAGACGGACUGGCUCAGCCAGGCCACAGUGAAUGGGCCCUGGACCCACGGCUGUACAGGGAGAUCACGUCUCUCUUUGGGAUUCCGGGGGUGGAACUUUUCGCCACUCGGAACAACCGUCAGACACAGAGGUUCUUCUCCGGUUCCCGGAUCCAGAGGCGGAGGCUGUGGACGCUCUGCACAGCGACUGGCCUCCCGGUCUCCUGUACACCUUUUUGCCACUUCCCCUUAUAAGCAAAGUCAUUCAGAAGAUGCUGAUGGAGAGGGCGGAACUUCUUCUGAUCGCGCCCCAUUGGCCUCGUCGACCUUGGUUCGCGGAUCUGAAGGCCCUUUCCGUCUGCCCCCCCCCCCGUGGCAUCUUCCUCCGGAACAACUCAUUCUUCGACAAGGAUCCGUCCAACAUCCGGACACUGGCUGGCUACAGCUAACCGCCUGGAGACUGAGCGACCGGAAACUUCCUCCCAGGGUCAUCGUUACCAUCCAGGCAGCCCAUCGCCCUUCGACGACCCGUAUUUACAAUUCCACAUGGAGGACGUUCUCUUCCUGGUGCCAGAGGAACUCCAUUGUCGCUACCUCGGCCUCUAUGGAACAGAUACUGGUGUACCUUCAGGAUCGUCUGGACACAGGUUUGGCUCCCAACUCUCUCCGCAGGCAAGUAGCUGCCCUUUCCUCCAUCCUUUGCUGUGAGACAAAGGGGUCUCUCUCCCAUCGUCCCCUCAUUAGACAGUUCCUCAGGGGGCACCUCUAACCUCCGUCCAGCCCCUAUCCAUAGAUAUCCCACAUGGGACUUGCCCAGGGUUCUGGAUGCCCUCAUCCGAGCUCCCUUCGAACCUCUCAGGGAGGUCGGCUUGAGGUUUCUCUCAUACAAAGUAACCUUCCUCCUGGCCAUCACCUUGGCCAGGCAUGUUUCGGAACUGGCCCUUUCCACGCGGGCGGACCUUUGCAUUUUCCACCCCGACAGGGUGGUUCUUAGAUUGGACCCCACCUUUCUCCCUAAAGUCAACUCCCCUUUCCAUUGGGCUCAGGAACUUGUCCUUCCUGAUUUCUGUCCCAACCCUUCCCACCCUUUGGAACGGGCCUGGCACACCCUAGAUGUCAGGCAGGCCUUGCGUAUUUACCUUAGGAGGACCUCGGCCUUCCGUCAGACGGAAUCCCUCCUCGUAUCUUUCCAACCUUCUUCAUUGGGUGGGAAGGUUUCCUCGGCCACCCUGGGAUGUUGGCUUAGGGCUAGCAUUGCCAAAGCCUACGAGGUCCAGUCUCUCCCUGUCCCUCGUCACAUCACAGCCCAUUCCACAUGCAGCACGGCUACCUCGGUAGCUUGGGCCACUCAGGCGUCCUUAGAGGAAGUCUGUCGUGCCGCUGCCUGGGCUUCGCCCACUCCUUUCAUCCGGUAUUACCAGCUUGACUGGUUUGCCUCAGCGGAUGCGGCCUUUGGACGCAGGGUCCUCCAACAGGUCUAUAGUAGGUCAGCCUCUCCGGCUCAGGCGGGUCCCUCCCAAUAGGUCUCUGCUUGGGCAUGUCCCAUUCCUGACCACUGGACCCAGAAUCAACGAGAAUGGGCGUUGUCUUACCUGAAUGCCCCUUCUGAUUAUUCGGGGUCCAGUGGUCAGCCUCACUCUGUUUAGGCCCUUGCCGGCUCGGCGGCUCUUUCGGCCUACUUUUCUCUCUUUUUCAGCUCUACGUGUCGGUCUGCUGUAUCAUCUUUCAUCAGAAAGCUGGGAAGCAUGGCAAAGAGGAGGAGCUUCUCAGCUAGCAGACUCAAUCAAUCAUAUCGGAGGGAGUUUAACCCGUUCCUGACCACUGGACCCCAAACAACCAGAAGGGGUGUUCAGGAAAUGACAAAAGUGUGCCAAGAUUCUUGAUUAGAGAAGUGGAAUUUGAGAAAAAGGAUCUAACUAGG